AUUGAACGCUGGCGGAAUGCUUUACACAUGCAAGUCGAACGGCAGCACGGACUUCGGUCUGGUGGCGAGUGGCGAACGGGUGAGUAAUACAUCGGAACGCGUCCUGUAAUGGGGGAUAACCUGGCGAAAGCCAGGCUAAUACCGCAUACGUCCUGAGGGAGAAAGCGGGGGAUCGCAAGACCUCGCGUUAUAGGAGCGGCCGAUGUCGGAUUAGCUAGUUGGUGGGGUAAAGGCCCACCAAGGCGACGAUCCGUAGCGGGUCUGAGAGGAUGAUCCGCCACACUGGGACUGAGACACGGCCCAGACUCCUACGGGAGGCAGCAGUGGGGAAUUUUGGACAAUGGGGGGCAACCCUGAUCCAGCCAUGCCGCGUGCGGGAAGAAGGCCUCGGUUGUAA
Molecule: ribosomal RNA, 397 nt
Filed under: uncultured bacterium
Lineage: Bacteria
Description: bacterial SSU rRNA
Rfam family: Bacterial small subunit ribosomal RNA
Source: RNAcentral